Long non-coding RNA from Helianthus annuus (common sunflower), 208 nucleotides. RefSeq lists it as uncharacterized. The transcript has 3 exons. The record is from RefSeq and is a predicted model, not a curated record. Lineage: Eukaryota; Viridiplantae; Streptophyta; Magnoliopsida; Asterales; Asteraceae.
AGCAAUCAUGACACAUUCGACCGAUCAGAAUAUUAUUUCUGCGAAUUUGCUAAUUCAUGAGACCGCUCAACGACCGGGAGAACAACAUCAUGAUACGAACGAUCAUCUUGAUGCUCGAGCCAAUUUGUUAGUUCCUCGGAGUAAUGAUCAAGCAGUAGAUCGUCAUGAAGAGGGUACCCGUAUGUCAGAGACGAUCGAUCAGCCCAAC